RNAcentral lists this long non-coding RNA (1675 nucleotides) under Nicotiana tabacum (common tobacco). RNAcentral describes it as "long non-coding RNA (NTAB_LNC013221)". The record is from RNAcentral. Lineage: Eukaryota; Viridiplantae; Streptophyta; Magnoliopsida; Solanales; Solanaceae.
GUUUUGAACAAUACCAUUUUAAAACUUAAAAAUAGUCCAUUCAUACACUAGAGUUCGAACAAUGUUAAAGCACUCAAUACCCUGAAAGUAUACAAGAAAUCUGAGCAACGAAAUCACCCUAAGCUAUUAGCAUGCACUAGCAUUCAAUACAAACCAGAAGCAGAACUCCAUAAAAACUGAGGCAUCUAUUCAUGCAUAAUGAAAGAAUUUAACAACAACUAUAUCAAAACUUUGAAGCAUUUAGUCGAAUGUCAACUUGGGUUUCCAAAGCUUCAUACAAGCCAAUCAAUGUUCAAUUCCAUGUCGGGUUUGAGUGGUGUACCUGGAAAUUAUAGAAGGGAAAAAUGAUUAUAAUAAGCAAGUUGUAGCAGCAGUGACCUCAAACUAGCACACAAAUUCCAGACUUCAAUCAAGAAUUAAUUCAAGCCAUUUCUCACGUUUACUGAACUUAAGAUUCUUUGACAAAUUGGAAUAAAAAAUGAGAAAAAAAACUGGAAAGCCAAUAGAACAGUGUUUUCUACAAUUGUUUAACCGCCUAGACUUUCUCAACUUUCCAACCCCUGUUCAAAGGCAAGAAUGAUAUGCCUUUAUAGGCCAGGCCAUAGGGCAAACUUCAGAAUCACAUAUUUCCUUUCUACCCCCUUUAAAAUUCUUGUUUUAGCUUAGGGAUCCCUAAAUUUAUGACUUGUUACCCAAGUUAAAACCCAUUAAAAGGUCUGAAAUAUCCCUGAACCCCUCCCUAAAAGCUUCUAUUUCUGUUAUCAAAAGAUUCCCCCAGUAAACUACCUAAAAUGCCCUCCUCGCCCCUGAAAAUUACCUUGAACCCCAACUGAGACAUGGGUAAAAUUAACCCACGGCUGAAUUUAACCCAGAACCCAAACCAAUUUGGAUGGGCUGCUCUUUGCCAAAUGGACCAAAGACAAACCAAAGCCCAGACGAACACUUAUCUAUUUGAAAAGAAAAAUCUGCAAGCCAUGAUAACAUGAAAUGAUUUCAAAGCAAAUCUACUAACUUACUAAUCAAUUAAUGAUGACUAGGCAAGGAUUUAACUUAGUUGAAGUAACUUAAUUUUAAAAUAACUUGGAUGGCUAAACAGAAAACAAGAUCGGGGAGUUAUCCAUGCUAUUAACACAACGGACUAAAGAAAUCAGAAAACAAACUUUCACGAAGAAGAGAAGGACAAUGACCGAAAGACCAAUCUAAACUCGAGAGAUUAGUAGAGUUUCAGCCAGACUAGUAUAAGAAGAUUAAGCUAAAGAAAAGGGAAAGAAGAAGAGAAUAAGACAAUCAAAAAGGAAGAGAAGACAAGAGAAGAAAAGAGCUUACCGAUUUAGACUCGAAAUCCAUCGAAGACAAAAGCCCUAACAAAGCUAAGGUCGAUCGUUUGAAUCCGAACUUCAAAACUCGAAGAACGGUGCCUUCUGACCAUGCAUGUACCAGGAUUGACGAAAAAGUGGUUUUGAACUUUUGGGGUUGACCUCAGAUUCAAGAUUCGCGGAGCUCCAAGCAGAUUCGAAGGAGAGUAGUUGUGGAUUUGGUAUGAGGGGAUCCUGGGGGUUGUGGGGUGUUAGUUUGGGGUUGAACGGAGGCGGCGCCGCCACCGGACGAUGGUGGAAAAGUGGGCGGCUCCGUUAGGGUUAGGCUUGGGUUCUUUGAUAGGGGUGUUGGAACGAUG